GACGAGGGGACCGCCGGGAGGGGCGGGGGUCUCACUUGGAGUGCCUCUCUGCCGCAGGGUAGGCGCAGCUGCCCAGGAAACCACCAGAGGCUGCGGGCUAUUAAUAGCCCGUGCAUGCAGGGCCAAGCGCAGCGUUGCUGACAUUUAGAAAAGAUCUCCUGUGUGAAGUUGCUUGGAGGCUCCGGCUUUGCAAAUGCAAUUAAAUAUAGAUUUCUCUGGGGUGAGGCAGGGAAGGGUGUGGGUGUGUUGUAAAUCGUGCAGCAAAGCCGUUUAACUCUGAGGAGUUCAGCAAGCGCUUUCCAGCCCCUACUGUGUGUCCCGGAGUGUGGGCCAAGAACCUCAUGUCUGUAUGCCUGCUGGGGCCUGGGAAGAUCUUAUAACAAGAUACCUGAGAGCUAAACUAGGAGAAAUCCUGAGGACCUGCGGGAGCCAUGGGGCAGGGACAUCGUGGCCCCUCGACUGUGCCUGGUCCCAUCUGGUGUCUUGCUGGCAGCUGGAGCUGGUCUGACCCCUGCGGCCAGCUUCAGCAGGAGUUCACUUUUGCCUGAAGUGACCAAAAUCUUCUGAUGUCGUCAGAGGUAAAGAUCACUUACUAAGG
RNAcentral lists this long non-coding RNA (598 nucleotides) under Urocitellus parryii (Arctic ground squirrel). RNAcentral describes it as "lncRNA (ENSUPAG00010014968.1)". Lineage: Eukaryota; Metazoa; Chordata; Mammalia; Rodentia; Sciuridae. The record is from RNAcentral.